AGUGAACGUUGGCGGUAGGCCUAACACAUGCAAGUCGAACGGCAGCACAGUAAGAGCUUGCUCUUACGGGUGGCGAGUGGCGGACGGGUGAGGAAUACAUCGGAAUCUACUUUUUCGUGGGGGAUAACGUAGGGAAACUUACGCUAAUACCGCAUACGACCUACGGGUGAAAGCAGGGGAUCUUCGGACCUUGCGCGAUUGAAUGAGCCGAUGUCGGCUUAGCUAGUUGGCGGGGUAACGGCCCACCACGGCGACGAUCCGUAGCUGGUCUGAGAGGAUGAUCAGCCACACUGGAACGGAGACACGGUCCAGACUCCUACGGGAGGCAGCAGUGGGGAAUAUUGGACAAUGGGCGCAAGCCUGAUCCAGCCAUACCGCGUGGGUGAAGAAGGCCUUCGGGUUGUAAAGCCCUUUUGUUGGGAAAGAAAAGCAGCAGGUUAAUACCCCGCUGUUCUGACGGUACCCAAAGAAUAAGCACCGGCUAACUUCGUG
RNAcentral lists this ribosomal RNA (492 nucleotides) under uncultured bacterium. RNAcentral's name for it is "partial 16S ribosomal RNA". It matches the Rfam family "Bacterial small subunit ribosomal RNA", at positions 29 to 507 of the family's 1533-position model. The record is from RNAcentral.